RNAcentral lists this unclassified non-coding RNA (288 nucleotides) under uncultured fungus. RNAcentral's name for it is "partial contains small subunit ribosomal RNA, internal transcribed spacer 1, and 5.8S ribosomal RNA". The stretch from base 1 to 123 matches the Rfam family "Eukaryotic small subunit ribosomal RNA", at positions 1759 to 1831 of the family's 1831-position model. Lineage: Eukaryota; Fungi. The record is from RNAcentral.
UCAAACUUGGUCAUUUAGAGGAAGUAAAAGUCGUAACAAGGUUUCCGUAGGUACGUGGAUAUCGCGACUCCCGUCGGGCGACCAUCGCUAAUCGUUGUAGGUGAACCUGCGGAAGGAUCAUUAACGUGUUUGGCUCCGGCCCUCACGCCCCUUGUGUACCUCUGGUUUCUUUGGCGCCCCGCGUCAGACUUUUGAACCCCUCUCUGAACGAGACUGUCCGAGUCCCUCAAAUGAUUUAAAACUUUCAACAACGGAUCUCUUGGUUCCAGCAUCGAUGAAGAACGCAGC